Humulus lupulus (European hop) is the source of this 3640-nucleotide RNA transcript. It is a transcript of the gene named putative disease resistance protein RGA3, with no coding region annotated. The transcript has 4 exons. The record is from RefSeq and is a predicted model, not a curated record. Lineage: Eukaryota; Viridiplantae; Streptophyta; Magnoliopsida; Rosales; Cannabaceae.
AUCUCAAACUAAGACAUUACUCAAAACAUACUUGCCUGCUUUAUCUCACCUUCUAAAACAACAAUGGCCGAAGGAGUUUUAUUCAAUGUUGCUGAAAGUCUUGUUGAGAUGUUGCUUUCAGCAGUAUUCGAAGAGGUUGGAGUGCUUUACUGUAUGAAGGGCGAGGUUCAGAAACUUGUUGAUACGACAAACAUAGUUAAAGGUGUACUUCUCGAUGCAGAACAGAAGAUGGCUGUCGAUAAUAGUGUCAAAGCUUGGCUCAAACAGCUUGGAGAUGCAUUUUUUGUUGCUGAUGACUUGGUGGACAAGUUUCAUACAAAAGCUAUGCAACGUAGAGUGAUGUCUGGGAAUAAAUUCACCAGGCAGGUACGUGUUUUCUUCUCCAGCUCUAAUCAGCUAGUUUUUCGUAUUAAGAUGGGUCAUCAGAUUAAAGAUAUAAGAGAAAAACUAGAUGAUAUAAGAGUCAAUAAGAGUUUUCAGUUGAAUGAUCGUCUAGAAGAAACAAUAGUUGCCGGUGGAAGUCGUAUGAGGGAGACCUGCUCAUAUGUGGAUGAAGGGGAAGUUAUUGGGAGAGAGGAUGAAAAGAAGGAAAUUAUUCGAUUAUUGGUGGAAAUGGAGUUUGAAGAGGAUGUGUCUUUCGUUCCAAUAUUAGGUAUUGGAGGGUUAGGAAAAACCACACUAGCUCAAUAUGUUUUCAAUGACGAGAAAGUCCAAAAACAUUUUGAACCAAAAAUGUGGGUGUGUGUUUCUGAUGUUUUUGAUGUGAAAUUACUAGUUGCAAAAAUUAUAACGUCUGAUUCUUAUAACAAUCUUGAAAACCUUCAGUUGGAACAAUUACAGAAUCAACUUAGAGCUAAGCUAAGUGGAAAGAAAUACCUCCUUGUGUUGGAUGAUGUGUGGAAUGAGGAUGGUGAAAAAUGGUGCAUGUUAGAGAUGAUGUUGAAGUGUGGAGGAAGGGGUAGUAGAGUCUUAGUAACCACUCGCAGUGAAAUGGUUGCUAGGAUAACUAAGAGUCAGACAAUUUUGCCAUUGGAAGUAAAAGGUUUGAGCAAAGAUAUGUCUUGGUACUUGUUCAAGAGAAUGGCAUUCGAGAAAGAACAAGAGCCGGUUGAGGGUUCAAAAAUAAUGGAGCUAGGAAUGGAGGUUGUAGAAAAGUGCAAGGGAGUUCCUUUGGCCAUAAGGACAAUAGGAAGAUUAUUGCAGUCAAGGCUAUGGCAGUCUCAAAACCCGGAAAAGGAGUUAUCGUGGUUUCUGAAUAGUGAACUUGCAAAAAUAGAUCAAAAUGAAAAUGAUAUCUUACCCACCCUCAUGCUAAGUUAUAAUCAUCUCCCUUCACAUUUGAAGCAUUGCUUUGCUUACUGUAGAUUGUUUCCAAAAGAUUAUAAAAUUGAAGUGAGGGAGUUGAUACAACUAUGGAUGGCCCAAGGAUUUACAAAAUGCUCUCAUCACAAAAAUCAGUGUCUUGAAGAUAUUGGUUAUGAGUAUUUUAUAAAUCUACUUUGGAGAUCUUUUUUUCAAGAACCAAUAAGGAAUGAGUUUGGUGACAUAAUAUCAUGCAAAAUGCAUGACCUCAUGCAUGAUCUUGCUAUUUUGGUGGCAGGAUCAGAUAGUGUCAUAAUCAAUCAAAAUACUAAAAUCUCUGGCGAAAAAAGUCUCCAUGUGUCAUUAGUUGAUUUUGAUUUCGAACUAGAAACCAACAAUUCACGUCAGAAUUUAGAUUUAUUUUCUCAACAAAAAAGACUUCGAACUUUUCUUUCACAUAACUGUAAAGAGUUGAGCUUCUCCAAACUUCAGAACUAUUUGUUCAAGUUUAAGUGCCUACGAGCUUUGAGUCUUUCUCGCAUGGACAUUGAGGUGUUGCCAAAGAAUUUGUGUGAAUUGGAACAUUUGAGAUAUCUUAAUCUUUCUUAUAAUUCUAAAUUAAAAAUGCUUCCAAGCUCUUUGGUAAGAUUACAGAAUUUGCAGACUCUGAAUCUCUCAUAUUGUUCUUAUCUCUUUAGAUUACCUCAAAACAUGAAGAAAUUGGUCAACUUAAGGCAUCUUAUGAUUCAAGGGUGUCGUAGGUUGACUGAGAUGCCCCCUGAAUUUGGGUAUAUGCCUUCCCUUCACACAUUAGAUAGAUUUGUUGUAUCUGAGUCGAGUGGGUUUCAAGAACUGAGCAACCUUAUUAACAACUUACAGCAAGGAGGCUUAAGUAUUCAAAGACUGAGACACACAACAAACUAUGUUGCAUCGAAAUCCACGGCACCAACUUUAAAGCGAGUCAUUUGUGAAGGGAAGCAUAAUCUUCAAUGGUUGAGGUUAUUGUGGGAAGAAGUUGAUGAGAGUAAUGAUAAUAAGGUGGAAAUUUAUGAGUUUGCACUUGAGGGUUUGCAGCCACCUUCCAGUCUACAAGUGUUGGUAGUGUGGAAAUUUAUGGGUGUGAGAUUGGGAGGUUGGCUUUCUUCAUUGGAUAACCUUGUUCGAUUGGAGUUAAUCAGAUGUAAGAAGUGUCAAUAUCUCCCAAAAUUAGAUCAUUUGGCUUGUCUCAAGGAACUUAAGAUUGUGGAUGUUGAAGCUGAGUACAUGUGCUCCUCAGCCGAAGAUGAAGACUUUGAUGAUGCCGACUUGUUCUUUCCAUCCCUGGUGAGUCUUUGUAUUGAAAAAUGUCCAAAUCUCAAGUGGUGGUGGUGGUGGAAGAGGGAAUUAGAUUGGAAUGAGAUUAGAUCAUUUCCUCGUCUUUCCAAUCUAGAAAUAUUCAAGUGUCCUAACCUCGCAUCAAUGCCCUUGUUUCCAUGUAUUGAAAGUGUUGAACUCAAAGAAAGUAGCUCAAAGCCAUUAGAAGAAACGUGGAAAAUGAUAAGGGGAAUAAGGAACAUUCAUGGGAACAUUUCAUUCCUCAAGUCUAUCAGGAUCGAAAGCUGCCGUGAUUUGACAUCAAUCCUAGAAGGGAUUGGGAACCUCCCUUCCCUUAAUACUAUCUAUGUACGUGACUGCCCCAAUUUGACAUCAAUUCCUGACAACUUAAGCAAUUGUGUAUCAAAAUCUAUUAGCGGAUGCCCCAAGUUGGCACAAACAUACCGUGAUUGAAGUUUUUCUAUUGUGCAUGUGCAUACGUUGGUGAUUAAAUAUGUGGAUAGAUAUGCUGCACCCUCCUCACAGAGUGGAUUGAAGCAUGUUACAUACAACCAUCAAAGCUAACAAUCUAGCUAAAAAGCCAGUUGAAGGAUGAAUCUCCAUGGAUUGGUCAUCUGAGCAUCAAUUGUAACUUUGACUUCAACUAAAAAGCUGAACAUGGCAGGACUAUGAUAAUGCUUGCUUGGGUUUCAAAGACUGCUUCAUGAAUAUAAAAGAGUAAAACAUACAUAUAGUUCCACUUUUUUUUUGGAGAGUUCAUUAAAAAAAAUCUUGAUAGUCUUUAGUUAUUACAGCAUUAUUCUUAUUAUUAGAUUGUGUGAUUCUUGCUUUUAUUUUUAAUUUGGUUUUAGAUUUCAUUGUUCAUUAGAGAGGUCAUCAUGGAUUCUAGAACACAACAAAGAAAAAUACUAGUGAGCAUACUUGAUAACUAUACAUUAUUCAUUGAACUAUAUUCUAAAUUAUAGCUGUAAAUAUGGGUCGGCCGAGCCCAUAGGCAUGACCCAUGUCGUGUCGUGAUUCGUGU